UUCCCUACGUAGUGCGUGUAGCUUGAAAUUUUAGAACCAACAAACAAUAAACGGGAGUCUGCCUUUGGAUGUGGCGUGUAUGCUUACAUUUAUGUAAGAAACCCAUAAGCAUUCAACAAGACACCCACCUGUGGAAGCAGGUCCUUAAAAUUUCACUCAACUUACGGCUAAUGUGGGGUUU
Molecule: non-coding RNA, 181 nt
Filed under: human gut metagenome
Also listed under: 1 other name
Description: 6S / SsrS RNA
Rfam family: 6S / SsrS RNA
About the family: E. coli 6S RNA was the first non coding RNA to be sequenced, but its function was unknown until recently.
Source: RNAcentral